This 735-nucleotide unclassified non-coding RNA is filed under the name Hevea brasiliensis (rubber tree). Lineage: Eukaryota; Viridiplantae; Streptophyta; Magnoliopsida; Malpighiales; Euphorbiaceae. The record is from RNAcentral.
AGGAUGCUCAGGACAAGCUCAAGGAAUUGUACCACAAUUAUUCAAAUGAAAAUGAAAAUCGUAUAUUUCUUGAGAUGAAAGCUAUUCAGAAGGAAUAUGACUUAACAUUAGAGGUUGAAGAGAAGGAAAAACUAAAGCAAAUAAUUUAUCGGCUUGAAAGAUCAGUGGGUGAAAAGGAAAAAUUAGCAAGUGAUGCAUCAACUGCUCUGGCAAAGGAGAAGGAACAAUUUGAGCUGGUAACUCAAGAGCUUAAUUCUGUGAGAGAACAUGCAAGUACGCAGCAAAGAUUAGUUUCUGAGAGCAAUAUGGAAUUAGAGGUGAUAAAGGGUCAAUUAGAAGAAGCAUUGGAGCAAAUUGAAGCAAUGAAGGAGGCGAUCCACCAGUUAAAUCAAAAGCUUGUAGAGAAGGAGGAGGAGUUGAAAGUAACUGAUGACAAAGCAAAGAUGGUCCUUGCUGUUUCUGAAGAGAGGCAGUACAUUUUGGCAAUAAAUGAAACCAAAGAAAUUGAGCUAAGAAAGCAUAUGGAAGCAGUAAUUUGUAGGGUACACGAGUUGUCAAAAAUGCUUGCAGAUUUUGAAUGCAAGGCGAGUGGCAGUCUGGAAGCAAAUCAUGCUAGGUGGAAGCAUUCAUCAAAUCAGUUGAAUUCUCUCGUCAAGAAGACCAAUUCUCUUAGAAGAACAGUGCUAUUGUACCGACAGAGGCUUGAAAAAAGGUGUUCGGACCUUCAAAUGGCCG